RNAcentral lists this ribosomal RNA (513 nucleotides) under uncultured bacterium. RNAcentral's name for it is "partial 16S ribosomal RNA". It matches the Rfam family "Bacterial small subunit ribosomal RNA", at positions 28 to 523 of the family's 1533-position model. The record is from RNAcentral.
GACGAACGCUGGCGGCAUGCCUAAUACAUGCAAGUCGAGCGAACAGAUGAAGUGCUUGCACUUCUGACGUUAGCGGCGAACGGGUGAGUAACACGUAAGGAAUCUACCUAUAAGCGGGGGAUAACAUUCGGAAACGGGUGCUAAUACCGCAUAAUAUCUUCUUCCGCAUGGAAGAAGAUUGAAAGACGGCUCUGCUGUCACUUAUAGAUGACCUUGCGGUGCAUUAGUUAGUUGGUGGGGUAACGGCCUACCAAGACGAUGAUGCAUAGCCGACCUGAGAGGGUGAUCGGCAACAUUGGGACUGAGACACGGCCCAAACUCCUACGGGAGGCAGCAGUAGGGAAUCUUCCGCAAGGGGCGAAAGCCUGACGGAGCAAGGCCGCGUGAGUGAAGAAGGCCUUCGGGUCGUAAAACUCUGUUAUAAGAGAAGAACAAAUUGUAGAGUAACUGCUACAGUCUUGACGGUAUCUUAUCAGAAAGCCACGGCUAACUACGUGCCAGCCGCCGCCGUAA